This 488-nucleotide ribosomal RNA is filed under the name uncultured bacterium. RNAcentral describes it as "partial 16S ribosomal RNA". It matches the Rfam family "Bacterial small subunit ribosomal RNA", at positions 50 to 523 of the family's 1533-position model. The record is from RNAcentral.
AACACAUGCAAGUCGAACGGCAGCACAGUAAAGACUUCGGUCUUUAUGGGUGGCGAGUGGCGGACGGGUGAGUAAUGCGUAGGAAGCUGCCCGAUAGAGGGGGAUACCAGUUGGAAACGACUGUUAAUACCGCAUAAUGUCUACGGACCAAAGUGUGGGACCUUCGGGCCACAUGCUAUCGGAUGCGCCUACGUGGGAUUAGCUAGUUGGUGAGGUAAUGGCUCGCCAAGGCGACGAUCUCUAGCUGGUUUGAGAGGAUGAUCAGCCACAAUGGAACUGAGACACGGUCCAGACUCCUACGGGAGGGAGCAGUAGGGAAUAUUGGACAAUGGGCGAAAGCCUGAUCCAGCCAUGCCGCGUGAGUGAAGAAGGCCCUCGGGUUGUAAAGCUCUUUUGUCCGGAAAGAAAAGCGCCGGGUUAAUACCCUGGUGUCCUGACGGUACCGGAAGAAUAAGCACCGGCUAACUUCGUGCCAGCCGCCGCGGUAA